AGCAGGAUGGAGUAAUUGGUAGCUCAACGGGCUCAUUAUCCGUAGGCGAAGGUUCGAAUCCUUCUUCUGCUA
RNAcentral lists this transfer RNA (72 nucleotides) under Flavobacterium sp. RNAcentral describes it as "tRNA-Met". It matches the Rfam family "tRNA". Rfam says of the family: Transfer RNA (tRNA) molecules are approximately 80 nucleotides in length. Their secondary structure includes four short double-helical elements and three loops (D, anti-codon, and T loops). Further hydrogen bonds mediate the characteristic L-shaped molecular structure. tRNAs have two regions of fundamental functional importance: the anti-codon, which is responsible for specific mRNA codon recognition, and the 3' end, to which the tRNAs corresponding amino acid is attached (by aminoacyl-tRNA synthetases). tRNAs cope with the degeneracy of the genetic code in two manners: having more than one tRNA (with a specific anti-codon) for a particular amino acid; and 'wobble' base-pairing, i.e. permitting non-standard base-pairing at the 3rd anti-codon position. The record is from RNAcentral. Lineage: Bacteria; Pseudomonadati; Bacteroidota; Flavobacteriia; Flavobacteriales; Flavobacteriaceae.